CUGUAAGCCUGCGAAGGUGGCCUGUGAGGGUUGCUGGAGGUAUCAGAAGUGCGAAUGCUGACAUAAGUAACGAUAAAGCGGGUGAAAAGCCCGCUCGCCGGAAGACCAAGGGUUCCUGUCCAACGUUAAUCGGGGCAGGGUGAGUCGACCCCUAAGGCGAGGCCGAAAGGCGUAGUCGAUGGGAAACGGGUUAAUAUUCCCGUACUUGGUGUUACUGCGAAGGGGGGACGGAGAAGGCUAUGUUGGCCGGGCGACGGUUGUCCCGGUUUAAGCGUGUAGGUGUGUGUUCCAGGUAAAU
Molecule: ribosomal RNA, 298 nt
Filed under: Salmonella enterica
Lineage: Bacteria; Pseudomonadati; Pseudomonadota; Gammaproteobacteria; Enterobacterales; Enterobacteriaceae
Description: partial 23S ribosomal RNA
Rfam family: Bacterial large subunit ribosomal RNA
Source: RNAcentral